Molecule: ribosomal RNA, 763 nt
Filed under: uncultured Streptococcus sp.
Lineage: Bacteria; Bacillati; Bacillota; Bacilli; Lactobacillales; Streptococcaceae
Description: bacterial SSU rRNA
Rfam family: Bacterial small subunit ribosomal RNA
Source: RNAcentral
GACGAACGCGGGCGGCGUGCCUAAUACAUGCAAGUAGAACGCUGAAGGAGGAGCUUGCUUCUCCGGGUGAGUUGCGAACGGGUGAGUAACGCGUAGGUAACCUGCCUGGUAGCGGGGGAUAACUAUUGGAAACGAUAGCUAAUACCGCAUAACAGUAGAUAUUGCAUGAUAUCUGCUUGAAAGGUGCAAUUGCAUCACUACCAGAUGGACCUGCGUUGUAUUAGCUAGUUGGUGGGGUAACGGCUCACCAAGGCGACGAUACAUAGCCGACCUGAGAGGGUGAUCGGCCACACUGGGACUGAGACACGGCCCAGACUCCUACGGGAGGCAGCAGUAGGGAAUCUUCGGCAAUGGACGGAAGUCUGACCGAGCAACGCCGCGUGAGUGAAGAAGGUUUUCGGAUCGUAAAGCUCUGUUGUAAGAGAAGAACGAGUGUGAGAGUGGAAAGUUCACACUGUGACGGUAUCUUACCAGAAAGGGACGGCUAACUACGUGCCAGCAGCCGCGGUAAUACGUAGGUCCCGAGCGUUGUCCGGAUUUAUUGGGCGUAAAGCGAGCGCAGGCGGUUAGAUAAGUCUGAAGUUAAAGGCUGUGGCUUAACCAUAGUACGCUUUGGAAACUGUUUAACUUGAGUGCAAGAGGGGAGAGUGGAGUUCCAUGUGUAGCGGUGAAAUGCGUAGAUAUAUGGAGGAACACCGGUGGCGAAAGCGGCUCUCUGGCUUGUAACUGACGCUGAGGCUCGAAAGCGUGGGGAGCAAACAGG